RNAcentral lists this ribosomal RNA (449 nucleotides) under uncultured bacterium. RNAcentral's name for it is "bacterial SSU rRNA". It matches the Rfam family "Bacterial small subunit ribosomal RNA", at positions 28 to 491 of the family's 1533-position model. The record is from RNAcentral.
GACGAACGCUGGCGGCGUGCUUAACACAUGCAAGUCACGGGGGCCCGCAAGGGCAACCGGCGAACGGGUGCGUAACACGUGAACAACCUGCCCUCGUGUGGGGGAUAGCCAUGCUAACGCGUGGGUAAUACCGCAUACGUUCUUUUGGGGGAGUCCCUGGAAGAGGAAAGCUCCGGCGCACGGGGAGGGGUUCGCGGCCUAUCAGCUAGUUGGCGGGGUAAUGGCCCACCAAGGCGACGACGGGUAGCUGGUCGAGAGGAUGGCCAGCCACAUUGGGACUGAGAGACGGCCCAGACUCCUACGGGAGGCAGCAGUGGGGAAUCUUGCGCAAUGGCCGAAAGGCUGACGCAGCGACGCCGCGUGUGGGAUGAAGCAUUUCGGUGUGUAAACCACUGUUGCCCGGGACGAACAGCCUUUUCGAGAGGUCUGACGGUACCGGGUGAGGAAGC